AUACAUCACAAGUUAUAAUCAGUCAAACAGGGUUGACCAAAACUGCAAAACCAGCGAAUCCAGAAAUUUCUUGAGUGCUGUCCGUGGUCGACUUUGACCAGUAAUUUCUAGUUCUAUCUGAUGUUAUUAUGAUGAUGUUAAGGUUUGUAGUUGUAUUCCUACAUGUUGUCUACACACUAGAAGUGAUAGAGCACAAAAAUGUUAUACGAUCACCACGUUAUAGAGGUCCAAAGUAGGCACCUCGAAGCUGUUUUUCGUGAAGAACAGCUUUGGCAGCUACUUUGAGGUUCGUUUUCUCCCAGAUCUGAUGUUGUUUAGAGGUUAUGUUUGUUGGAUCUUGUAGUCUUGUAUUUUCUCUACAAGACCCAAUUUAUAGAUUGUCCAAAUUCGUUAAGAUGAGAGAGUUAUUCACGGUCAAAGUAGCCCACUCGGUUCUGCCUUAUGAAGAUCUGGGUAGGCUCAAGAACACCUAUAGCGACGGUUCUGUCACUAUAGGGGCCUUUAGCGAC
This 509-nucleotide long non-coding RNA is filed under the name Panax ginseng (ginseng). RNAcentral describes it as "long non-coding RNA (PGIN_LNC008356)". Lineage: Eukaryota; Viridiplantae; Streptophyta; Magnoliopsida; Apiales; Araliaceae. The record is from RNAcentral.